ACACAGAGGGGGGAGGAGCGUACAGAGUCAAGAAAAAUGCAGAGGACGACAGCUCAACAUACAUUAGGCAGAAACUUGGAACUUGGUGAAGCACAGCGACAAGAGUAUAGUAACGUUUAAAUAAAGAGAGAAAAGAAUACGAUUUAGAUUGAGACAGGGAAAAAGGGCCAGUUGGAAAUCCAUCUCGUAAGUGAACAGUGUGACAGUGAAGUGGAAGUACAGACUGGUUUCCAUCCACUGUGAGCAGACUGCCAAACAGCAUGGCUGACAAAGUGAAUGAGGAAUCGACUAAUAAUCCAAGGAAAAAGGACCAGGACUGGGGCUAUGAAGAAGGUGUAGAGUGGGGACUCCAUUACCCAACAGCCAAUGGUGAGUACCAGUCUCCCAUCAACUUGAACUCCAGGGAGGCUCAAUAUGACCCAUCCCUCCUGGAUGUCCGCCUGUCACCAAACUACGUGGUGUGUCGUGACUGUGAAGUUAUAAAUGAUGGACACACUGUACGUAUCCUUCUCAAGUCAAAGUCAGUGGUCAGCGGCGGUCCAUUACCGAGCGAUCACGAGUAUGAGCUUCACGAGGUCCGAUUCCACUGGGGCAAAGAGAAUCAGAGAGGAUCAGAACACACAGUCAACUUUAAGGCUUUUCCUAUGGAGCUUCAUUUGAUUCACUGGAACAGCACACUGUUCAACUCUCUGGAGGAUGCUCUGGGGAAGAAGAACGGAGUUCUCAUUAUUGCUCUUUUCGUGCAGAUUGGCAAAGAGCAUCUGGGUCUGAAAGCCAUCACAGAAGUUCUACAGGACCUGCAGUACAAGGGGAAGAGCAAGAUAAUACCCUGCUUUAAUCCAAACACUUUGCUGCCUGAUCCAUUAUUGAGAGACUACUGGGUGUAUACAGGAUCUCUGACAACACCACCUUGUAGUGAAAAUGUAAUAUGGAUUCUCUAUCGCUACCCACUUACCAUAUCACAAUUACAGAUUGAAGAGUUUCGGAGGCUUCGUUCACAUAUAAAAGGCGCAGAACUGCCAGAGGGGAAUGAUGGGAUAUUGGGGGACAAUUUCCGCCCAACCCAACCACUGAGUGAUCGAAUUGUUAGGGCGGCAUUCCAGUGAUUUGCAUUUUGCUCUGCAAACUUAAAAAAAAAAAAAAGACCUUCAAACACAAACAUGGGAAAAAUGAGACAAUGUGAAGAACAGCAAGAACAGAAGGGAAGGAGAGAGCUGAAGAAGUUUGACCAUAGAGUACAGAAAUACAUACGGUAGACCCAGUUUCGAAAGUACUCACCCCCCCCUGUAAUGUGUCAUCAUAUGUUCACAUAAACAGAGUAGAGAUCUUUAAAAAGAUGAGGCAGCUCAUUUGCAUAUGACAAUAUGUUGUAUCUUAAAUAUUUGAAAUUCCUCAAUAAUAUGAAUGUCAUAAAGAUAAUGUCUGUGUGGUAUAUAGUAAAUAGUUUCCGCUAAGGCUAGUGUGUUAAUAUUUUGAACUAAAACUAAUGUAAUAUAAUGACAAGUAACUCACCCACUAUCUUAAAAGAAAAUCAUACUUUUUAAAUGUUUGUACACAAAUUGUUGGGUCUUUUGAGUUCUAGCCAACCCAUCAAGUUGAAUAAAUAAUUUGUUAUUGCCUA
This is an RNA transcript of Syngnathus typhle (broad-nosed pipefish), 1621 nucleotides long. It is a transcript of the gene named carbonic anhydrase VIII, with no coding region annotated. The transcript has 9 exons. Lineage: Eukaryota; Metazoa; Chordata; Actinopteri; Syngnathiformes; Syngnathidae. The record is from RefSeq and is a predicted model, not a curated record.